Molecule: ribosomal RNA, 768 nt
Filed under: uncultured bacterium
Lineage: Bacteria
Description: bacterial SSU rRNA
Rfam family: Bacterial small subunit ribosomal RNA
Source: RNAcentral
AGAGUUUGAUCCUGGCUCAGAACGAACGCUGGCGGCAUGCCUAACACAUGCAAGUCGAACGCUUUUGGGGUUUCGGCCUCAAGGGAGUGGCGCACGGGUGAGUAGCGCGUGGGAACCUGCCCUGUUGUGGGGGAUAACCGAGGGAAACUUCGGCUAAUACCGCAUGCGCCGGUUGUCUUGAGAGAGAUGGCCGGGAAAGAUUUAUCGCAGCAGGAGGGGCCCGCGUCGGAUUAGCUAGUUGGUGGGGUAACGGCUCACCAAGGCGUCGAUCCGUAGCUGGUCUGAGAGGAUGAUCAGCCACACUGGGACUGAGACACGGCCCAGACUCCUACGGGAGGCAGCAGUGGGGAAUAUUGGACAAUGGGCGCAAGCCUGAUCCAGCAAUGCCGCGUGAGUGAUGAAGGCCUUAGGGUUGUAAAGCUCUUUCGCCCGCGACGAUGAUGACGGUAGCGGGAGAAGAAGCCCCGGCUAACUUCGUGCCAGCAGCCGCGGUAAUACGAAGGGGGCGAGCGUUGUUCGGAUUUACUGGGCGUAAAGGGCGCGUAGGCGGCGGACCAAGUCGAGUGUGAAAGCCCCGGGCUCAACCUGGGAGGUGCGCUCGAGACUGGUUGGCUGGAGUUCGGGAGAGGAGCGUGGAAUUCCCAGUGUAGAGGUGAAAUUCGUAGAUAUUGGGAAGAACACCGGUGGCGAAGGCGGCGCUCUGGACCGAGACUGACGCUGAGGCGCGAAGGCGUGGGGAGCAAACAGGAUUAGAUACCCCCGUAGUCC